AGCCCAUUAGCUAGCCCACCCCCUCACAAACAACAACCCCCAUCAAUAAACCUCAAUUUACAGAACCCCCGCCAAUCAAACCAUUUUACCCCUCUAGUACAGGAGAUCGAAAAAGAAAUUAAAGAGCUAUAGAAAAAGUACCGCAAGGGAACGCUGAAAGAGAUAUGAAAAAGCCUAGUAAAGCCUAAAAAAGCAGAGAUUCCCCCCUCGUACCUUUUGCAUCAUGAUUUAGCCAGAAUACUCAAGCAAAGAGACCUUUAGUUUGACCCCCCGAAACUAGGUGAGCUACUCCAAGACAGCCUUUUAAGAAGGGCAAACCCGUCUCUGUGGCAAAAGAGUGGGAAGAGCUUUGAGUAGGGGUGACAGACCUAUCGAACUUAGUUAUAGCUGGUUACCUGGGAAAUGGAUUUGAGUUCAGCGUGACGGCUUCUCCUCUCUUUCUUAUGCCCGCAUAUUAUACAGACCCAAAAGAAACCGUCAUAGUCAGUCAAAAGGGGUACAGCUCUUUUGAAACAGGACACAACCUUUUAAGGCGGAUAAAGAUCAAAUUUAGUAAGGAUAAAUAUUCCAGUGGGCCUAAGAGCAGCCAUCACUACAGAAAGCGUUAAACCUCAGACAUAUUUACCCUCCCUUGAUCCCGAUAAUAACAUCUUAAUCCCCUAAAUUGUACCAGGCCGCCCUAUGCUUACAUAGGAGUGACUAUGCUAAUAUGAGUAAUAAGAGAGCACCCCUCUCUCCCUGCACACGUGUAACUCGAAACGGACUCCCCACCGAAUCUUAACGGCCCCAAUUAAAGAGGGUAAUGUGACACAACCAUGACUAACAAGAAAACCCCACACAUAUUAACCGUUAACCCUACACAGGAGUGCUUCCAAGGAAAGACUAAAAGAAGGAAAAGGAACUCGGCAAACACUUGAAGCCUCGCCUGUUUACCAAAAACACCGCCUCUUGCUAAAAACAAUAUAUAAGAGGUCCUGCCUGCCCAGUGACACCUGUUUCAACGGCCGCGGUAUUUUGACCGUGCUAAGGUAGCGAAAUCACUUGUCUUUUAAAUGUAGACCUGUAUGAACGGCAAAACGAGGGCUUUACUGUCUCCUCCUUCAGGUCAAUGAAAUUGAUUUCCCCGUGCAGAAGCGGGGAUAGACACAUAAGACGAGAAGACCCUAUGAAGCUUUAGAUACCAAAGCAGUACCUGUCAAUCACCCUUCAAAUAAGGGCCAAAACUUAUUGAACACUGCCCUAGUAUCUUAGGUUGGGGCGACCCUGGAGAAAUACAAAACCUCCAUGUGGACUGGAAGCACCUUCAUAAUUUAAUUUUUGACACCUUUAUGCUUCUAUAAACUUGAAACACAAUUCUAGUUACCAGAAAUUUUGACCAAAUAUGAUCCGGCAACGCCGAUUAACGAACCAAGUUACUCUAGGGAUAACAGCGCAAUCCUCUUUUAGAGCCCAUAUCGACAAGGGGGUUUACGACCUCGAUGUUGGAUCAGGACAUCCUAAUGGUGCAACCGCUAUUAAGGGUUCGUUUGUUCAACGAUUAAAGUCCUACGUGAUCUGAGUUCAGACCGGAGUAAUCCAGGUCAGUUUCUAUCUAUGACAUGCUCUUUUUUAGUACGAAAGGACCGAAAAGAAGAAGCCAAUACUAAGGAUACGCUUCCCUCUCUCAACUUAGUGAAAACAUCUAAACUAAACUAAAGGACAUAACCCUCCCCGCCCAAGAUAAGGGCAC
This 1729-nucleotide ribosomal RNA is filed under the name Pelotretis flavilatus (southern lemon sole). RNAcentral describes it as "16S ribosomal RNA". The stretch from base 109 to 1612 matches the Rfam family "Bacterial large subunit ribosomal RNA". The record is from RNAcentral. Lineage: Eukaryota; Metazoa; Chordata; Actinopteri; Pleuronectiformes; Rhombosoleidae.